GGCAGCUGGCUGGGGUCCCUUUCCACGACGUGGCGGCUUUGUUCUUUUGCUCUUUGCAAUAAAUCUUGCUACUGGUCAUUCUUUGGGUCCACACUGCUUUUAUGAGCUGUGAUACUCACCGCGAAGGUCUGUAGCUUCACUCCUGAAGCCAGUGAGACCACGAGCCCACUGGGAGGAACAAACAACUCCAGAUGCGCCGCCUUAAGAGCUGUAACACUCACCACCAAGGUCUGCAGCUUCACUUCUGAGCCAGCGACACCACGAACCCACCAGAAGGAAAAAACUCCGAACACAUCCGAACAUCAGAAGGAACAAACUCCAGACGCGCCACCUUAAGAGCUGUAACACUCACCGCGAGGGUCCGCAGUUUCAUUCUUGAAGUCAGUGAGACCAGGAACCCACCAAUUCGGGACACAGGAGGAUCACUUGAGCCCAGGAGUUCAAGACCAGCCUGGGCCAUAUGGCGAGACCCUGUCUUUAAAAAAAAAAAAAAAACAUAGGAAACACUGAAAGGGAAUGAUGUCAGUUUGAGACUGUUUUACUCUGUUGCCCAGGCUGGACUGCAGUGGCAUGAUCUCGGCUCACUACAACCUCCACCUCCUGGGUUCAAGCGAUUCUCCUGCCUCAGCUUCCCGAGUAGCUGGGAUACAGCUGCGUGCUACCACGCCCGGCCAAGUUUUGUUUUUUUUGAGACAGAGUCUUGCUCUGUUGUCCAGGCUAGAGUGUGGUGACGUGAUCUCGGCUCACUGCAACCUCCACCUCCCAGGUUCAAGCAAUUCUGCUUUAGCCCCCUGACUAGAUGGGAUUACAGGCACCUGCCACCAUGCCCGGCUAAUUUUUUGUAUUUUUAGUAGAGACAGGGUUUCACCAUGUUGGCCAGGCUGGUCUUGAACUCCUGACCUCAAAUGAUUAACCUGCCUUGGCCUCCCAAAGUGCUGGAAUUACAGGUGUGAGCCACUGCACCCUGUACCUCCACCACCUCCUGAGUACCUAGGACUACAGGAGCGUGCCACUACACCUGGCUAUUUUUUUAAUUUUCAAUUUUUUUUUUUUUUGUAGAGAAGGGGAUCUCACUAUGUUGCCCAGGCUGGUCUCAAACUCCUGGUCUCAAGCCCCUCAGACUUCUGCCUCGGCUUCCCAAAGUGCUGGGGUUACCGGCUGGGAUUUCAGAGCCCUGAAACAUCCUUAUAACAAUAUUAUUGACUUAUGAUUAUAAAAGUAAUUCAUGGUAGUUGUUGAACAUUUGGAAACUACGCACCAAACAAAAACAAAAAACACCCAAGUGGAAAAUAAAAAUCAUUGUUAAUUUCAUUCCGAUUGAGACGAAUUUAGUAUGUCCAAGAAAAAUGAGAAUGAAAGAUGACGGGGGAUAUCCCAGGAUCCACAGAGCUGUGUCGUUGAUCCCAGACUGUACUGUUUAUGGGGUGGAUCCUGCCAGCGUCCCUGUGGGGGCAGCCUUCACA
RNAcentral lists this long non-coding RNA (1463 nucleotides) under Homo sapiens (human). RNAcentral's name for it is "HSALNT0397929". Lineage: Eukaryota; Metazoa; Chordata; Mammalia; Primates; Hominidae. The record is from RNAcentral.